RNAcentral lists this long non-coding RNA (6805 nucleotides) under Lathyrus oleraceus (garden pea). RNAcentral describes it as "Pisum sativum (pea) long non-coding RNA (PSAT_LNC000929)". The record is from RNAcentral. Lineage: Eukaryota; Viridiplantae; Streptophyta; Magnoliopsida; Fabales; Fabaceae.
ACCACCAGAGCAAUAGUAAAAGCCACAUAUAAUGGUGAUUGACCUCUUUUCUUAUUCUUAGUUUCGAAUUAAUGGAAUUUUAAAAUAAAUAUCCUUUUUUCUUAUGUUUCUUUAUCUUUCUUUUUAGACUUAUUUAAAUUUCCAUCUUCAUAUUCAAAAUUUGAUUUCUAUCGAAUUGACAUUUAUUCUUGUCUGAUGUUUUUUAUUAUGAUUUAUUAUUAUUUAUGGUUGGUAUCUUUUCCAUUUUCAAAUUGUAAUUUAUUAUUGAUCUAUGAGUUUUAAUACUUUUCUAUACUCUGCGCCUAAACUAUGAUUUUUCCUUUUAAGUAAGACAUAAAAUGUCAUUGUGUAUUAUUAAUUUAUUUAAUGAACUAAUUUGUUGCUUAUGAGUAAAAAUCCAGAGGGCUAAUACUUGCUAGUAUUAUAUAUUUCCAACUUCAAUAUGCUGGUCAUGCUGCUGAUUGUAGGCACUAGAUGUUGCUGAUCAUGUUAUUGGGAUGUACUGCUUUAUCAUGCGGGUAAGAUUCGGUAGACUUAAAGUGUAUCAUUUUGAUGUCAUGCCUGUAACAUUUAAGUUUUAUAUUUUCUCAAUACUAAUAAAUUGUUUAUAAAUUUGAAGGAAAACACGAGAAGGUAAUUAAUUGGUUGAUUUCGAUACUUUAUUUGAUUUUUUUUUAAUUUAUAUUCUGUAACCAUUUGAAUGAAAAGGAAUGGUACAAUACCUCUUAAAAAGUUCAUGACAAAAUCAGUGACUUUACUACAUGAAAUCUCUAGAUUUGUCAAGCUUCCAUGUUCUAGAAUCAAAUUGAAUCAAAUAGAUGUAUAAUUAGUUACUAAAACACGCGUCUAAUAAAACAUUUUCUAGAUUCUCACUUGAGGAAAUUCAACUUUACUUGGGAGAAACAUGUGUUGAUUCUUAAAAUGGAGUUAAUUACCUAAAUAUGAGCUAUUCAGUAGUGAAAAUGAAAAUACACUGACGACAUUGAUGAAAAUUCUGAUAAUUUAACUUAGGUGAACUUUUGAGCUAUUGUGACCAAUAGGAUAUAAGAUGCAACAAACAUGAUAGAGGAUUCAUAUCGGAAUCUAUUAUGCAAUUAUAUCACUUCAUAUUGAGAGAUUCCAACUUUGAACUUUUGAGCUAUUGUGACCAAUAGGAUAUAAGAUGCAACAAACAUGAUAGAGGAUUCAUAUCGGAAUCUAUUAUGCAAUUAUAUCACUUCAUAUUGAGAGAUUCCAACUUAAAUAAAACCAAUGGCCUUUUGCUCUACAUUUCAUUUUCAUGUCGUGUGUCACGACACCAGUGGUUUGUAAAAUUAUUUGGUUGAAAUUUCCAUUUACUUCACUUCUAUUUUUAAAAAAUAAUGAUUCCCUCUCUUCCCUCUCUAUGCUUUCACAACUUCAUUUUCACUCUCUCCCCUAUCAAGACUAUAUUCUGAUCUAUAGCUUCCACAACAACUUGCUUCUUCUCCACCUCCUCUAAGUGCAUCCCUUACCUUGAUUCUUUCAUUUAUAGAAUUAUUCUUAUUUUCGCUUUGAUUUGUCCUCUCUUUUAUAGCUUCAAAUAAGAUUUUGGAUCACAAUAAGUUCUCAUUUUUUUACGUCUCUGAUCGAAAAUCGAAGUAAAAAGGAAGCAUUACGAGCAUAACACACAACCUGCAAAAUAUAUAUGAAGAAGACAAUCAAUGUCUAAAUGGAAUGAAGAGGGAAGAGCAUAUAAAUAUUCAUGAAUUGUGAGAUAAAAUUAGAACUAGGGAUUAUAUAAAUUUACUCAGAUCUUCCAUUUUCAACAUAAUACUUUACUAAUUAUUUUUCUACAAAGCCAGGUACAAUUAAUGAAAGGCUGUUAGUGUUCCUCAGAUACAAGAAAUGAUGAGCAAGUUGGAAAUAAAUUUUACAUGAUUCUUUCCCAAAUCCUUUACUACUAUUUUUGUCUUUCUUUUUUAUUUUUCCCCUUUCUUUUAUUUCUUCUUUCCCUUAUUUAUUUGUUUAUUUAUAUUGUUAUAGAGUAGUCAAGUCAUUUCCAUGAAUUUUUUAUUAUUAUGGAUUAGAAAACUAAAACUGAUAUUAAAACCACCAGAGCAAUAGUAAAAGCCACAUAUAAUGGUAAUUGACCUCUUUUCUUAUUCUUAGUUUCGAAUUAAUGGAAUUUUAAAAUAAAUAUCCUUUUUUCUUAUGUUUUUUUAUCUUUCUUUUUAGACUUAUUUAAAUUUCCAUCUUCAUAUUCAAAAUUUGAUUUCUAUGGAAUUGACAUUUAUUCUUGUCUGAUGUUUUUUAUUAUGAUUUAUUAUUAUUUAUGGUUGGUAUCUUUUCCAUUUCCAAAUUCUAAUUUAUUAUUGAUCUAUGAGUUUUAAUACUUUUCUAUACUCUGCGCCUAAACUAUGAUUUUUCCUUUUAAGUAAGACAUAAAUUGUCAUUGUGUAUUAUUAAUUUAUUUAAUGAACUAAUUUGUUGCUUAUGAGUAAAAAUCAGGAGGGCUAAUACUUGCUACUAUUAUAUAUUUACAACUUCAAUAUGUUGGUCAUGCUGCUGAUUGUAGGCACUAGAUGUUGCUGAUCAUGUUAUUGGGAUGUACUGCUUUAUCAUGCGGGUAAGAUUCGGUAGACUUAAAGUGUAUCAUUUUGAUGUCAUGCCUGUAACAUUUAUGGCACUAGAUGUUGCUGAUCAUGUUAUUGGGAUGUACUGCUUUAUCAUGCGGGUAAGAUUCGGUAGACUUAAAGUGUAUCAUUUUGAUGUCAUGCCUGUAACAUUUAAGUUUUAUAUUUUCUCAAUAUUAAUAAAUUGUUUAUAAAUUUGAAGGAAAACACGAGAAGGUAAUUAAUUGGUUGAUUUCGAUACUUUAUUUGAUUUUUUUUUUAAUUUAUAUUCUGUAACCAUUUGGGUGAAAAGAAAAGGUACAAUACCUCUUAAAAAGUUCAUGACAAAAUCAGUGACUUUACUACAUGAAAUCUGUAGAUUUGUCAAGCUUCCAAGUUCUAGAAUCAAAUUGAAUCAAAUAGAUGUAUAAUUAGUUACUAAAACACGCGUCUAAUAAAACAUUUUCUAGAUUUUCUCUUGAGGAAAUUCAACUUUACUUGGGAGAAAUGUGUGUUGGUUCUUAAAAUAAAGUUAAUAACCUGAAUAUGAGCUAUUCAGUAGUGAAAAUGAAAAUACACUGACGACAUUGAUGAAAAUUCUGACAAUUUAACUUAGGUGAACUUUUGAGCUAUUGUGACCAAUAGGAUAUAAGAUGCAACANAAUGUAUAUUUUCUCAAUACUAAUAAAUUAUUUAUAAAUUUGAAGGAAAACACGAGAAGGUAAUUGAUUUGUUGAUUUCGAUACUUUAUUUGAUUUUUUUUUUGUAUUUAUAUUUUGUAACCAUUUGGAUGAAAAGGAAAUGCAGAAUACCUAUUAAAAAAUUGAUGACAAAAUCAGUGACUUUACUAGAUGAAAUCUCUAGAUUUGUCAAGCUUCCAAGUUCUGGAAUAAAGUUGAAUCAAAGAGAUGUAUAAUUAGUUACUAAACUACGCGUCUAAUAAAACAUUUUGUAGAUUUUCACUUAAGGAAAUUCAACUUUACUUGGGAGAAACGUGUGUUGGUUCUUAAAAUGAAGAAGUCAAUAAUCUGAAUAUGAAAUAUUCAGCCGUGAAAAUGAAAAUACAAUGACGACAUUGAUGAAAAUUCUGACAAUUUAACAUAGGUGAACUUUUGAGCUAUUGUGACCAAUAGGAUAUAUGAUGCAACAAACAUGAUAGAGGAUUCAUAUCGAAAUAUAUUAUGCAAUUAUAUCACUUCAUAUUGAGAGAUUCCAACUUAAAUAAAACCAAUACCCUUUUGCUCUACAUUUCAUUUUCACGUCGUAUGUCACGACACCAGUGAUUCGUAAAAUUAUUUGGUGAAGUUUCCAUUUACCUCACUUCUAUUUUUAAAAAAUCCCGAUUCUCUCUCUUCCCUCUCUAUACUUUCACAACAUCAUUUUCACUCUUUCCCCUAUCAAGACUCUAUACUCAUCUAAAGCUUCAACAACAAUUUGCUUCUUCUCCAUCUCCUGUAAGUGCAUCCCUUACCCUGAUUCUAUCAUUUAUAGAAUUACGCUCCCUUUCGCUUUGAUUUGUUCUUUCUUUUAAAGCUUCAAAUAUUAUUUUGGAUCACAAUAACUUCUCGUUUUUUUACGUCUCUGAUCGAAAAUCAAAGUAAAAAGGAAGCAUUACGAACAUAACACACAACCUACAAAAUAUAUAUGAAGAAGGCAAUCAAUGUCUAAAUGGAAUGAAGAGGGAAGAGCAUAUAAAUAUUCAUGAAUUGUGAGAUAAAAUCAGAACUAGGGAUUUUAUAAAUUUAAUCAGAUCUUCUAUUUUCAACAUAAAACUUUACUAAUUCUUUUUCAUGAUUCUUUCCCAUACCAUUUACUACUGUUUUUGUCUUUAUUUUUUAUUUUUCCCCUUUCUUUUAUUUCUUCUUUCCCUUAUUUAUUUGUUUAUUUAUAUUGUUGAAGAGUAGUAAGUCAUUUCCAUGAUUUUUUUUAUUAUGGAUUAGAAAACUAAAACCGAUAUUAUAACCACCAUUGCAAUAGUAAAAGCCACAUAUAAUGGUGAUUGACCUCUUUUCUUAUUCUUAGUUUCGAAUCCAUGGAAUUUUAAAAUAAAUAUCCUUUUUUCUUUUGUAUUUUUUAUCUUUCUUUUUAGACUUAUUUAAAUUUCCACUUCAUAUUCAAAAUUUGAUAUCUAUCGAAUUGACAUUUAUUCUUAUCUGAUGCUUCUUAUUAUGAUUUAUUAUUAUUUAUGGUUGGUAUCUUUUCCAUUUUCAAAUUCUAAUUUAUUACUGAUCUAUGAGUUUUAAUACUUUUCUAUACUCUGCGCCUAAACUAUGAUUUUUCCUUUUAAGUAAGACAUAAAAUGUCAUUGUGUAUUAUUAAUUUAUUUAAUGAACUAAUUUGUUGCUUAUGAGUAUAUGAGUUUUAAUACUUUUCUAUACUCUGCGCCUAAACUAUGAUUUUUCCUUUUAAGUAAGACAUAAAAUGUCAUUGUGUAUUAUUAAUUUAUUUAAUGAACUAAUUUGUUGCUUAUGAGUAAAAAUCAGGACGGCUAAUACUUGCUAGUAUUAUAUAUUUCCAACUUCAAUAUGCUGGUCAUGCAGCUGAUUGUAGAGACUAGAUGUUGCAGAUCAUGUUAUUGGGAUGUACUGAUUUAUCAUGCGGGUAAGAUUCGGUAGACUUAAAGUGUAUCAUUUUGAUGUCAUGCAUGUAACAUUUAAGUUUUAUAUUUUCUCAAUACUAAUAAAUUGUUUAUAAAUUUGAAGGAAAACACGAGAAGGUAAUUAAUUGGUAGAUUUAGAUACUUUAUUUGAUUUUUUUAAUUUAUAUUCUGUAACCAUUUGGAUGAAAAGGAAAGGUACAAUACCUCUUAAAAAGUUCAAGACAAAAUCAGUGACUUUACUACAUGAAAUCUCUAGAUUUGUCAAGCUUCCAAGUUCUAGAAUCAAAUUGAAUCAAAUAGAUGUAUAAUUAGUUACUAAAACACACGUCUAAUAAAACAUUUUGUAGACUUUCACUUGAGGAAAUUCAACUUUACUUGGGAGAAACGUGUGUUGGUUCUUAAAAUGAAGUUAAUAACCUGAAUAUGAGCUAUUCAGUAGUGAAAAUGAAAAUACACCGACGACAUUGAUAAAAAUUCUGACAAUUUAACUUAGGUGAACUUUUGAGCUAUCGUGACCAAUAGGAUAUAAGAUGCAACAAACAUGAUAGAGGAUUUAUAUCGAAAUCUAUUAUGCAAUUAUAUCACUUCAUAUUGAGAGAUUCCAACUUAAAUAAAACCAAUGCCAUUUUGCUCUACAUUUCAUUUUCAUGUCGCGUGUCACGACACAAGUGGUUCGUAAAAUUAUUUGGUUGAAAUUUCCAUUUACCUCACUUCUAUUUUUAAAAAAUCCCGAUUCCCUCUCUUCCCUCUCUAUGCUUUCACAACUUCAUUUUCACUCUCUCCCCUAUCAAGACUCUAUUCUGAUCUAAAGCUUCCACAACAACUUGCUUCUUCUCCACCUCCUCUAAGUGCAUCCCUUACCUUGAUUCUUUCAUUUAUAGAAUUAUGCUUAUUUUCGUUUUGAUUUGUUCUUUCGUUUAAAACUUCAAAUAUGAUUUUGGAUCACAAUAAGUUCUCAUUUUUUUACGUCUCUGAUCGAAAAUCGAAGUAAAAAGGAAGCAUUACGAACAUAACACACAACCUACAAAAUAUAUAUGAAGAAGACAAUCAAUGUCUAAAUGGAAUGAAGAGGAAAGAGCAUAUAAAUAUUCAUGAAUUGUGAGAUAAAAUUAGAACUAGGGAUUUUAUAAAUUUACUCAGAUCUUCCAUUUUCAACAUAAUACUUUACUAAUUAUUUUUCUACAAAGCCAGGUACAAUUAAUGAAAGGCUGUUAGUGUUCCUCGGAUACAAGAAAUGAUGAGCAAUUGGAAAUAAAUUUUACAUGAUUCUUUUCCAAAUCCUUUCCUACUGUUUUUGUCUUUUUUUUUCCCUUUUCUUUUAUUUCUUCUUUCCCUUAUUUAUUUGUUUAUUUAUAUUGUUAUAGAGUAGUCAAGUCAUUUCCAUGAUUUUUUUUUAUUAUGGAUUAGAAAACUAAAACAGAUAUUAUAACCACCAGAGCAAUAGUAAAAGCCACAUAUAAUGGUGAUUGACCUUUUUUCUUAUUUUUAGUUUCGAAUCAAUGGAAUUUAAAAAUAAAUAUCCUUUUUUCUUAUGUUUCAUUUAUCUUUCUUUUUAGACUUAUUUAAAUUUCCAUCUUCAUAUUCAAAAUUUGAUUUCUAUCGAAUUGACAUUUAUUCUUGUUUGAUGUUUUUU